This 253-nucleotide ribosomal RNA is filed under the name uncultured bacterium. RNAcentral describes it as "partial 16S ribosomal RNA". It matches the Rfam family "Bacterial small subunit ribosomal RNA", at positions 524 to 776 of the family's 1533-position model. The record is from RNAcentral.
UACGUAGGUGGCAAGCGUUGUCCGGAUUUACUGGGCGUAAAGAGCGCGCAGGCGGUCGGAUCAGUCGAAUGUGAAAGCCCCCGGCUCAACUGGGGAGGGUCAUUCGAUACUGUCCGACUCGAAGGCAGGAGAGGGAAGCGGAAUUCCCGGUGUAGUGGUGAAAUGCGUAGAUAUCGGGAGGAACACCAGUGGCGAAGGCGGCUUACUGGUCCGGUACUGACGCUGAGGUGCGAAAGCGUGGGGAGCAAACAGG